UGGGGAAUCUUGCACAAUGGCCGCAAGCCUGAUGCAGCGACGCCGCGUGAGGGAUGGACGCCUUCGGGUUGUAAACCUCUUUCGCCAGUGAAGCAGGCCAUCUUCUUUGUGGGUUGGUUGACCGUAGCUGUAUAAGAAGCGCCGGCUAACUACGUGCCAGCAGCCGCGGUAAUACGUAGGGCCCGAGCGCUGUCCGGAAUUAUUUGGCGUAAAGAGCUCGUAGGCGGCUGGUCGCGUCUGUCGUGAAAUCCCCUGGCUUAACUGGGGGCUUGCGGUGGGUACGGGCCGGCUUGAGUGCGGUAAGGGAGACUGGAAUUCCUGGUGUAGCGGUGGAAUACGCAGAUAUCAGGAAGAACACCGGUGGAGAAAGCGGGUCUCUGGGCCGUUACUGACGCUGAGGAGCGAAAGCGUGGGGAGCGAACAGG
Molecule: ribosomal RNA, 425 nt
Filed under: bacterium
Lineage: Bacteria
Description: partial 16S ribosomal RNA
Rfam family: Bacterial small subunit ribosomal RNA
Source: RNAcentral